AUGAAUUUGACCACUCAUAAAAGGAAAGAAAUACAAAAAGUAAAGAGUUCAUAACCAAGUUUUGAAAUCUUGAUCAUGGAAAGAAUUAGAUCUUGCACAAAAAAUCUUCUUCAGCCUCAAAAGACUUCAAACCCUAGCUUUUGCUCUUUGAACUUGAUGAUAGUGUUUUUUCGCUCCCCAAAUUGUGUUGAACUCCUCUUUGAUCUUGAUGAUUAUGUGUCUCUCUCUCCCAAAAUUGUGUGG
RNAcentral lists this long non-coding RNA (243 nucleotides) under Olea europaea (common olive). Its description in RNAcentral is "long non-coding RNA (OEUR_LNC010472)". The record is from RNAcentral. Lineage: Eukaryota; Viridiplantae; Streptophyta; Magnoliopsida; Lamiales; Oleaceae.